Transfer RNA from Camelus ferus (Wild Bactrian camel), 73 nucleotides. It matches the Rfam family "tRNA". From Rfam's summary of the family: Transfer RNA (tRNA) molecules are approximately 80 nucleotides in length. Their secondary structure includes four short double-helical elements and three loops (D, anti-codon, and T loops). Further hydrogen bonds mediate the characteristic L-shaped molecular structure. tRNAs have two regions of fundamental functional importance: the anti-codon, which is responsible for specific mRNA codon recognition, and the 3' end, to which the tRNAs corresponding amino acid is attached (by aminoacyl-tRNA synthetases). tRNAs cope with the degeneracy of the genetic code in two manners: having more than one tRNA (with a specific anti-codon) for a particular amino acid; and 'wobble' base-pairing, i.e. permitting non-standard base-pairing at the 3rd anti-codon position. NCBI's taxonomy places the organism in Eukaryota, Metazoa, Chordata, Mammalia, Artiodactyla, Camelidae. The record is from Rfam.
GAGGGUAUAGUUCAAGUGGUAGAGUGCAUGCUUGGCACACAUGAAGUCCUGGGUUCCAUCCGCAGUACCUCCU